CCUCCUGCAGCUGCUGCUGGAAUAGUGAAAGUGUUGGUUUGAACCUCAGAAGGAAACAGACUCAUAAGCUACCCAUAUAAAUGUAAUCUAUAAAACAAUGGUUUUCACCCAUGAUCCUUUAAAAUAUAUAUUUUUAAGCUCUAACUCUUGAGAUUCUGAUUCUCCAGGCAGGGCCCCACUUUGUAGAUUUUUAGCACACUCUGGAGGAUUCUAUGGUGGGACCAGAACAAGGACCCCAAUUUUCUAGCUCUUGACUGGAGCCUCCCCAUACCCUGCAUGAUCCCUAGACCAUGGUCCCGGCCGGAUGGGGAUCCCACAACCCCCGGGGCUGCAACCGCUUGCCUGUGGCAGCAGGGGCUUGGCCCUCUCCACCUUUCUUUCUAGCUCCUUUAUGUUGAGCUGGAUCUCAGACUUUUGAGUCUCUUGAAGUCGAACUUUUUCUUCUAAUUUGAUAUUUUUCUCCUUCAGCUCCUCAUCGAUUAUGCUAUGGCCAGAGACAGUAGAGAAAGGAAUGAACGAAGAACAGAAAGGAACGCUUUGGUGACCAACCCUCUGCUUUCACCCCACAACCACAGAACCGUGGCAUUGGAUGGGACCCCAGGAAUUAAAAGUCCCAGGUGGCAGGCCAGAGAGAAGAUAUGAGUUGCCUGAGGCUACCCCUGACAGCAGAGAGGGCCCGCUCUAAUUCUCCGGCAAACUUCCAUGAUUCAUGGAGGCGGCACACCAGAUCCCUGGUCUCUCCUGGAAUGAGAGACAUUCAGAUGCGGCCCAAAGGACUCCCCCUAAAGGCUUGUCAAAGUGCCAGGUUUUAAGAUGACAGGGUGCCGGAUGCCCACCUUGCAGCUGCUGGACAGCAUGCUGGCUGUCAUACAGUGCCGCCUGAAGCUCCGUUUGCUGAAAUAAAGAGGAAGACAGAGCUCUUACCAGGGGGAGGCAGAGAUGGCACAGCAAGGGACAUGCCCCCAGAAUGGCACCACUGCCCCAGGACAGGCCCACCCAUGGGACCAGCAGAUGGAGAGGAUUCAAACCCAGAAUUCUUAACCAGUGCCUGGGAGAUCUUCCACAAUCUUAACAAUUACCCUCCACCACCCCUUGGGCCCUCUGUCCCCAGGAGCCUGGCCAGCCAAGACUCACAUCCUCAGACUCAAAGGAAACUGAUGUUUCAGAAAGAUACCCUGUAUUUAUCCUGUGGCACUCAAAGUACCCCAGGUGGAGAUGAGAUGAGGAAUAUUCAAGCUGUCAAGUUCAGUUUCCCAAGAUCUGUUCCACAGAAGAUAAGCAGAUCUCACUCCAGAAACCACUGACUGAGGGGCACUCUGGUCCCAGAACAAUGCAGAAUUCAAAUCUGAGGUGGGGAACUCAGAAACAAUGUUCGAGUCUCUCUGGAGAGUAGAAGCCUGGGAGAAAACCAAACCCAACCCGUUCUCCCAUUGCCACCCAGGGACACUGUCAAUGUGUUGAGCUCAUGGGGGAGGUGUCGGCUUUUCACACUGUCAGUGUCUGUGUUAAGGAAGUAAGGCAGCCUGAAACCUGUCUCUCCUAGGUCCCACAGUCCCCAAUCCCCUUCCAGCUGGAAACCUGUGCUAUAACCAGAGGAACCAGAAAUGGGCAAGAACACUCAGGGGACUGGGUCCUAAGACCAAAGACCAGUCUCGUGGCAGUAAUGACAGUUCCUAGAGGGACUGUGACAUCACUACAUUCCACUCCUCAGUGGAGUGGUGGGGAGGACACGUGAGUGCAAUGUCCAAGUUGCCGCUUUGAGAUUGGGGAGGGGGAGUCACAGGAUUGGGACCCAGGUCCUUGGAGAUGCAAGCCCAAAGAGCCCAGGGAGGUCAGGCUUUGGGUGGCGAGAGGUGAGGGCCGAGUAUGGAGCAGGAAGCCCCAGGAGUCACCUGUCCAAAGUGACCAUGGGGCAACUGGUGGGGGCAGGUUCUGGGGCACCCAGGUCCUUGGAGACGUGAGCCCAAAGAGCCCAAGGAGGUCGGGUUUGGGGUAGCAGGAGGUAAGGGCAGAGUAUGGAGUGGGAAGCCCUGGGAGUCACCAGCUCAAAGUCACCCUGGGGUGACUGGUGAGGGCAGGGGCAGGACUCACAAGGGGGUUGGGCUGGCUCACAAGAUUUGGGUGUGGGGAGCCCAGAGGCACUGGGUGGGGGUGGUCCCAGCCUGAUGUGCCUCAGCAGUGGCACAGACUCUGGCAGCAGCUUGACUGUCAGAGGGCACCUGGGGCUGGGUUGGGGUGCCGCAACCUGGUGCAUUUUACCUUUUCCUUGGCCUUGGCCAAUUUGAUCAGUGGGGUUUCUUCGGA
This is a long non-coding RNA of Piliocolobus tephrosceles (Ugandan red Colobus), 2304 nucleotides long. Lineage: Eukaryota; Metazoa; Chordata; Mammalia; Primates; Cercopithecidae. The record is from Ensembl.